UUGAACUACACAGUGUCGAUGC
This 22-nucleotide non-coding RNA is filed under the name Arabidopsis thaliana (thale cress). Lineage: Eukaryota; Viridiplantae; Streptophyta; Magnoliopsida; Brassicales; Brassicaceae. The record is from RNAcentral.